Molecule: ribosomal RNA, 254 nt
Filed under: uncultured bacterium
Lineage: Bacteria
Description: partial 16S ribosomal RNA
Rfam family: Bacterial small subunit ribosomal RNA
Source: RNAcentral
UACGUAGGGUGCAAGCGUUAAUCGGAAUUACUGGGCGUAAAGCGUGCGCAGGCGGUGAUGUAAGACAGGUGUGAAAUCCCCGGGCUUAACCUGGGAACUGCGUUUGAAACUACAAGGCUAGAGUGUAGCAGAGGGGGGUAGAAUUCCACGUGUAGCAGUGGAAAUGCGUAGAGAUGUGGAGGAACACCGGUGGCGAAGGCGGCAUCCUGGACCGACACUGACGCUGAGGAGCGAAAGCCAGGGGAGCAAACGGG